UCCCUGAAGCGGUAUCUCGGUGAGAUGGA
RNAcentral lists this non-coding RNA (29 nucleotides) under Homo sapiens (human). The record is from RNAcentral. Lineage: Eukaryota; Metazoa; Chordata; Mammalia; Primates; Hominidae.